UACGUAGGGGGCAAGCGUUGUCCGGAAUUAUUGGGCGUAAAGCGCGCGCAGGCGGUUUAUUAAGUCUGAUGUGAAAGCCCACGGCUCAACCGUGGAGGGCCAUUGGAAACUGGUAGGCUUGAGUGCAGGAGAGGAGAGCGGAAUUCCCAGUGUAGCGGUGAAAUGCGUAGAUAUUGGGAAGAACACCGGUGGCGAAGGCGGCUCUCUGGACCGAGACUGACGCUGAGGCGCGAAAGCGUGGGGAGCAAACAGG
Molecule: ribosomal RNA, 253 nt
Filed under: uncultured bacterium
Lineage: Bacteria
Description: partial 16S ribosomal RNA
Rfam family: Bacterial small subunit ribosomal RNA
Source: RNAcentral